ACCCGCAGCGGCUCCUCCUGAGCUCCCUCCUCCCGCAGGACGCGCCAGGCUGAUAAGAAUCCCGUGGAUAACCGAAGGCUGAUCCAGGAUGUCCCAGCAGCAGAAGCAGCCGCAGCAGAUCCCGGCCCAGUGCCAGGAGAAGUGCGGGGCGCUUCCCAAGGGGGUCCAGCAAAGCCAGGCCUCCAAAGGCCAGGCCAAGGCGGCCGUCAAGAGCCUCCCCCAGCAGCAGCAGCAGCAGCAGCAGCAGCAGUGCUCCAAGCAGAAGUAGAAUCCAUCCCAAAUCCCAAAUCCCGCUUUUUCUCCACCUCUCCGGGCUCCCGGGAACCUCUCCGGACCUGCUCGCCGGCCGGGAUUUACCCGGCGACAAGACGGGCUUAAUUAGGGCUAGAAAUGAAUCAUUAAUUCCGGGUUUAAUUUGGG
Molecule: long non-coding RNA, 420 nt
Organism: Pseudopodoces humilis (Tibetan ground-tit)
Lineage: Eukaryota; Metazoa; Chordata; Aves; Passeriformes; Paridae
Source: RefSeq, a predicted model, not a curated record